Molecule: non-coding RNA, 458 nt
Organism: Pelobates cultripes (western spadefoot toad)
Lineage: Eukaryota; Metazoa; Chordata; Amphibia; Anura; Pelobatidae
Source: the annotation of a GenBank genome assembly
UCUUGAUCCGAGCAAUGCGAUCUUGGGAUAGAGAGAUAGUUGAAGCUUCUGUGUUUAUACUUGCUCCAAGGAACACUAUGUGCCUGCAUGGAAUGAGAUUGCUUUUGUCUCUGUUUGUGAGCCACCCAAAUUCUUGCAGAGUAAAGAUCACCUCUUCUGUCUGAUGGACUGCUGUGUGGUAUUCCUGUGCUACUACCAGGAUAUCGCCAAGUAGUGGAAUACUUGGAUCCCUCUCUUUCUCAGGAUUGCAAUAACUGUUAUGAGAACCUUCGAGAACAUUCUUGGUGCCAAGCUUAGACCAAAUGGCAUGCCCUGGAACUGAUAGUGUUUUACCGACAUCCAGAACCUCAGGAACCUCUGAUUGGAUUGAUGUAUCGGGAUCUGGUAGUAUGCAUCUUUCAGAUCUAUCGAUGUUAGGCAGUCGCCCUGAUGAAUGGCCUGUUUUAUGGAUGCAAUAG